This 253-nucleotide ribosomal RNA is filed under the name uncultured bacterium. RNAcentral's name for it is "partial 16S ribosomal RNA". It matches the Rfam family "Bacterial small subunit ribosomal RNA", at positions 524 to 776 of the family's 1533-position model. The record is from RNAcentral.
UACGUAGGGUGCGAGCGUUAAUCGGAAUUACUGGGCGUAAAGCGCGCGUAGGCGGCUUUGUAAGUUAGAGGUGAAAGCCCGGAGCUCAACUCCGGAACUGCCUUUAAGACUGCAUCGCUAGAACGUCGGAGAGGUAAGUGGAAUUCCGAGUGUAGAGGUGAAAUUCGUAGAUAUUCGGAAGAACACCAGUGGCGAAGGCGACUUACUGGACGACUGUUGACGCUGAGGUGCAAAAGCGUGGGGAGCAAACAGG